Molecule: ribosomal RNA, 1194 nt
Filed under: metagenome
Description: SSU rRNA
Rfam family: Eukaryotic small subunit ribosomal RNA
Source: RNAcentral
AUAACGGGUGACGGGGAAUUAGGGUUCGAUUCCGGAGAGGGUGCCUGAGAAAUGGCAACUACUUCCAAGGAAGGCAGCAGGCGCGCAAAUUACCCAAUACCAAUUCGGUGAGGUAGCGACAAAAAAUAACGAUGCCGGUCAAAUUUGACUGGCAAUCGGAAUGAGUCUAUUACAAAUAGAUUAGCGAGGAUCAAUUGGAGGGCAAGUCUGGUGCCAGCAGCCGCGGUAAUUCCAGCUCCAAUAGCGUAUAUUAAAGUUGUUGCAGUUAAAAAGCUCGUAGUCGGAUUUACCCUGGUUAAUUAACCGAGUAGGGCGGGAGCCCAUACCGGUAGUUACCAGGUAUUACGUCAAGAACAUCCGUACUCUGCCCUUAACUGAGUGGAGUCGGGACUUGACCGAUUACUUUGAAAAAAUUAGAGUGUUCAAAGCGGGUAAUUUUACCCAGAAUAUUUUAGCAUGGGAUAACAAAAUAAGGCUUCGGUAUAAUUUUGUUGGGUUAUUAACCGAGCAAUGAUUAAUAGAGAUAGUUUGGGGUGUUCAUAUUCCCCGGGGAGAGGUGAAAUUCUUGGAUCCGGGGAAGAUGUACUUAUGCGAAAGCAUUCACCAGGGAUGUUUUCAUUGAUCAAGAACGAAAGUUAGGGGAUCGAAGACGAUCAGAUACCGUCGUAGUCUUAACCGUAAACAAUACCGACCAGAGAUUGAGCGACGUUACACGGAUGACUCCCUCAGCACCUUGCGAGAAAUCACCAGUCUUUGGGUUCCGGGGGGAGUAUGGUCGCAAGGCUGAAACUUAAAGGAAUUGACGGAAGGGCACCACCAGGAGUGGAGCCUGCGGCUUAAUUUGACCCAACACGGGAGAACUUACCAAGUCCAGACAUAGCUAGGAUUGACAGAUUAAGAGCUCUUUCUUGAUUCUAUGGGUGGUGGUGCAUGGCCGUUCUUAGUUGGUGGAGUGAUUUGUCUGGUUAAUUCCGAUAACGAACGAGACAUCAGCGGCUAACUAGAACUGAGAAGCGUCUAAUAGGGUGAAGUUUUGUGGAAUCCUUCACGGGUGACUGCAUUAUGGAUCCCUGAUGUCUUUGUCAGUUCUUCUUAUCCGGACUGUGUGGGCUUACCACACGGAAGCUUGAUGCAAUAACAGGUCUGUGAUGCCCUUAGAUGUCUUGGGCUGCACGCGCGUUACAAUGACCAUGU